This is a long non-coding RNA of Numida meleagris (helmeted guineafowl), 1313 nucleotides long. RefSeq lists it as uncharacterized. The transcript is spliced from 3 exons. Lineage: Eukaryota; Metazoa; Chordata; Aves; Galliformes; Numididae. The record is from RefSeq and is a predicted model, not a curated record.
GAACAUGAAUAAGCUCCAUCACUACAAGUCUACCAAUGAUGAAAAUGUUCUUAUAAACGCAUAGCAAAACACAAACCCAUUGCACAGUUCAAAAUAUAGGCAGAAAACACCCUGUAACCCCAUACAUUGCCUUUAGCAUGGAUGUGCUGUUUGGAAAUGCUUUUGUAGACUGGAGUUGUACCAACACUCCUAUCUUCCGGAAAAGCCAACACAGGUAUGUUAGGUAUAUGAUGGAGAUGGCUGAAACAACACAGCUGCGGUUACCUGAGGUAGGUGAGAGAAAUGCCCACUCAAUCCUCUGUGAGCAGAUCCUCUCUGAUGAGAGACAGCUGGGAAGCACUGUAGUCUCUUCUGGGUCCUACCACUGCUUUUGUUCAAACAAGCUGUUCUUGGACAGCAUGCAACUAUUAGUCAGAUUGUGUCUACCCAGGAUGGGCUUUUGCUGCUUUAAUUAAAAUUGUGAUUCAACUUCUCACAGAGAAGUCUUUGAGUAAAAUUACGUAACAGACUAGAAAACGACCUCUGUAGGAGGGAAGCUGUUAUUCUUCUAUGUUUGUACUUCACAUUUCUCUAUAUUUUGUAAGCCAUUAAUGGCAGUACUGCAUCUGUCAUCAUUCGCAACAUAAAACUCCUUGAUUUACCUUUCAAUGAUUUUUUUUUUAGCAAUUUUUUUUUUUUUUUUAUGUCAGGCCACUUUACUGAGCACUCUAAGGAAACGGGCACUUGAGUGCCUUUGGCAUUCUUCAGAGGACCCAAACCAAGCAGAAACCCAUCUACAUCCUUCUGCUUAUUAAGAGAAAUGUUGAAAUGUUCCUGAGGAGCAACAAGGCAAAAGCCUGCUAUCAGUGACUAACGCAGUUUCCUAAAGGCAUCCUAGCUUGCAGCACUGCCAGACCAACUCUCCUGAUACUCUUCCAUACACAAAGGAUCUUUAAGAAUUACUCCUGUCUUGAAGAAACAGCUGCAGGCUAGAGGAAAAAUUCAUACUCUAUUGAGUUUUCUGGAUGGGAGAGUACACGCUCAUUACAGAUAUACACAGAGGUUAAGAAGAAUAAGCAGGGCCGUUUCAAAGAGAGAAUAGUAACAGUAAUAAUUAACCGGCAAGGUGUUUAGUCAUCUAGAGGAGAUGGGUGUGGAAGACAUUCGACUGCAUUUGAAUCAACUGGGAAAAGCCAGGAAUAGCACCAAUGCAGAGAGAAAGCAGCUGUUUCCCUUAACAGUGCUUUGGGGACCGUGGAUUUCUUGGUGAUCCAAAUGACAAACACUUGCACCUGCACACUUGCAGAACAGAAUCAGAGAUGGACAUUCAAAAG